AGCCCUUAAGCAAAAGCGGAAGUGUAGGACAGUGAAGCAUCUUGCCUCGUCUCAGUGACGACUGCAGCCUGAACAUUCAAAGCAAACAACUGCGGGAAAGCAGCGAAUGGCUGAAUGUGAUUUCCUGUGUGUCACUGCACAACCAGACUCAGUGUUUGUCUCAUAGAAAGACCUCAACAUGUCCAAAGUGGACAUUGUACUUUCAGGCUACAGCAGCAGCUGUUAGCCAAGAGCUAGCCAAGUGCUAGCUGGCCUCAGGUUGUCCGGAAGGGCACAUUUGGAGGCAGCCAACCAGGUCAGGACUGCAUGUGCAGGUCUCUGCACCAAUGGACAAGUUUGAAAAGCAAUUUGAAACUCCUGAUGUGCAGACAGCUCUGAUUGAAAAGACAAUUGGCCACACCACAACUAUCAACCUAAAGUUUGGUUCUAAACCUGGAGCUCCGUCCAGCCCGAACAUCUUCACUGACUUCAACUGAGUAGGCCGUGACUGUGGUGAACUCGGUCUCUGGGAACGAGAAGCUGUGCACUCCUUCAGCAGGCAGCGACUGGAUCUGAGACAAGUCCAUCCGAGGGUCGUGCCGGAUGAUGUGCACCCGCGGCUUGUAUUUGUGCAUCGACUGAAGAAUAAUCUGUGUCAAGAGACAAGGAUGACAUAGCUCUGUGAGGUGGGCCAUCAGAAACUUUGAACUGCUGGGUAUUUAUUUAUAUAAUAGUUAUAUGCAUUAUCCAAGUCUGAAGAUCUUUUUUUCCCAGCUUAUUAUUUUUUAUAUGAAAUGUCAGAAAACAGACUUUACUAUCACAUUAGACAAAAAAACUUUUUCUUUUCAUAUUGAGAGGCUGGAAUCGGAGAGUAUUUGCAAUAAAAAUACAUAUUUUAUUUCUCUUUAACAAUAAAUUAAUAAAAACUUUAUGGACAUUAGCCUAUACAGAGAUUUCAGUGAUCUAAUUGUUUCUGCAUUUCAUGCAAGAAUGUAGGAUAUCUAAUUAUUGAUAUUUAAAAAGAAUUUUUUUUUUCAAUUGAUUAAUCUAUAUCCACAGCAGCAUAAUGGUUAAUUUGUGAUUUGUCUCAGCCAGGUAUCCCUUGAAAAAUAGGUUGUUAAUCUCAAUGGCGGUUACAUUUAAUAUGUUAAAUACCGGUUAUAUUAAAAAAAAAAUGUACACAGGGUCAAAUGAUUCAAAUGAAUAUAUAAUAAAACAAUAUACAACAUAUACAAGUGAACAUGCAGUAUGAUCAGGGAAAACAAUAUAAGAGUCUGUAACCUCAGGUAUUGCAUUAAACUAUGCACUGUUCAACAUUAAUUGUCACUAAUUGGUUUGUGUGCAGAAAUAACCAAUUCUAAUUAUUGUUUAUUCAUCUUUAGACAUCAUCAUAUAAAAAUAAAAUCAUAUCCGUAUAAAACUAAAUAUAUUUCCAUCGGCAUAAUUACUAAUAUAAAUAGAGUAAUUAAAAGUGAAUGUCUGAAGUAAAUAAAGACCAUGUAUAUACCCUGUUUCAUAUUCUAAAGAUGCCACAAACUCUUCAGUCAAACAGCCACUGAGCCUCAGUGGCUGUUUAACAUAAAGGAUUAUGAAAAGCAAGUUUGAGCUUUCCAGUCAAACACUUGCAGUUUCUACGGCCCUUCAUUGUAAACCAGAGUAAUGAAUUCUCCACACACAGAAUGAUCUAAAUUGGGAGGUGGUUUUAUAAACAGGGAGAUUAAGCCAGAAGCCUCCUAUAGCCCCCCGAGUCAUUACAUCUGUCUGUAAGUGAACUUUUACAAGACGUAGUGGAGCACAGAAGGAUUUCCACUUCCUUUAUCCCUAAAAUGUGUACUGCAGACUCUUCCUCCCAAAUUAUUCUGCACUAUUAAACCGGAGAAAGUUCAAGAUCUGUGUGUGACGGCAAUAAGCAGCUCUGUGGUUGCUCUGGUCUUCUUUUAUAACAUGACAUUUUCUAACGACAACGCUUUGCUGACAAUUAUUCAGAAAUAUUUGUAAGAUGUUGACUUUUGGAUUGAGGCAUUACUAUUCAGACAGCGUCUCACACCCACAGAAUUAAGCCUGGACAUACACAGACCCCACAUCAAACACCUGUGUGUGUGUGUGUGUGUGUGUGUGUGUGUGUGUGUGUAUGUAAUAAUGCCCCAAAAUGUAACUUUCAAUUUCUGACACACCAGUUUUCUUUGUCUUUUUCUUUGUGUGUGUAGAAAGUAGAGUAGAUCUAUUAAACAGCAUGAGUUUAUGGUUACUGAAAAAAGUACAAGAUUUGGCACUAUAACUUUUUCUUCUCCCCUAUUAAUUUUUAUAGUUGGUGCCCUUUUUUUUUUUUUUUUUACUUGAGCCCCAUGAAAUGUCUUUGCACGCCACUGGUAUUUAUCUACUUUCUAUUCGACAGAGAAAAAGCAGCGCGCGGACAGUUGUGUUACCUACAUGUCCUUUAUCGUCCAUCUCGUUGUUGGUGAGUUUGACGCGGUCGAAACUGACGACCUGACGCAUCCACGUCUCUCCUGCGCACGGCGAGUCCGGGUGCACGUAGAGGCGGGGAGAGAUGCAGGAGUGGUCCGUGUUUCCAGCCACCAUCCACUGCGAGCUGUGGUACACGUACCUGCGGG
This is a long non-coding RNA of Solea solea (common sole), 2591 nucleotides long. RefSeq lists it as uncharacterized. The record is from RefSeq and is a predicted model, not a curated record. Lineage: Eukaryota; Metazoa; Chordata; Actinopteri; Pleuronectiformes; Soleidae. The transcript is spliced from 5 exons.